This 301-nucleotide ribosomal RNA is filed under the name uncultured bacterium. RNAcentral describes it as "partial 16S ribosomal RNA". It matches the Rfam family "Bacterial small subunit ribosomal RNA", at positions 509 to 809 of the family's 1533-position model. The record is from RNAcentral.
CAGCCGCCGCGGGAAUACGGAGGGUGCAAGCGUUAAUCGGAAUUACUGGGCGUAAAGCGCACGCAGGCGGUUUGUUAAGUCAGAUGUGAAAUCCCCGAGCUUAACUUGGGAACUGCAUUUGAAACUGGCAAGCUAGAGUCUUGUAGAGGGGGGUAGAAUUCCAGGUGUAGCGGUGAAAUGCGUAGAGAUCUGGAGGAAUACCGGUGGCGAAGGCGGCCCCCUGGACAAAGACUGACGCUCAGGUGCGAAAGCGUGGGGAGCAAACAGGAUUAGAUACCCGUGUAGUCCCUGUCUCUUAUAA